Molecule: long non-coding RNA, 1646 nt
Filed under: Penaeus japonicus
Lineage: Eukaryota; Metazoa; Arthropoda; Malacostraca; Decapoda; Penaeidae
Description: uncharacterized LOC122247877
Source: RNAcentral
CCCAUCACAACAAUAAUAAUAUAUUUCUGUGGCGGAAAGGCCCGACAAAGUUUUAUUUCCAAGAUUGCCUUUAAAUACCUAGUCUUAGACGCUGCGAAAUGCAAUAGAAGUUUAUGCAAGGAGUUAGAGCGUCGAAUUAUCAAUCGAAAUAAGGGGUUGAAUCAUCAGGCUGCAUAAUGACAGCACAAGGAAGCAGUCUCUUUGCACCAAAUUAUGGACAGCAGCCGGAAUGGGGACAAGAGAGACCUAUAACUUUCGAAGACCUUGGAAUACCGCGGUCCCAGGCCAUGCGGACUACAGUAUUUGGAAAUAUAAGAACAUGCCAAAGCCUCCGAAUUUUAGAAUGGAUUCUCCUUGUGGGGGGCCUCCUCUCGACGUUAGGAACAAUUGGGAUGGCGAUAUACAGACUCUUCUAUCUGCGUCCAGGAUCUCAGGACUAUGUGUUUGCCAUGCUGAUCAUUUUCCAUUCAGGUAAGUUCUGUCUUGAGAAUUGUAUGUUCAAUUUAUUGUAUAUAUUUUGUAGCAUGGUUUAUCCUCUCCUUUUUCUCAAUUUUCUCAAUCUUAUCGCUUAUUUUGAGGAGAAUGUUAGUUUGCUGAUAUACACCCAUUUAGAAGACUGUUUUUAGAUAUGACAUUUCAAACUAGAAGAUAUCAAGAGAAUAUACAUGUAUACAACGUGAAACCUCAGUUUUAUGGAAUAGUGGGGGAAGGUCCUUCUGUAGUGUUGUAUGUUGAAGCACUUGUGUUUAUGAUAUUACCAUAUAUGUGGAUUAAUAAAUAUAUCUUGAAAGAGCCUGCUUAACCCUAUGACUACGGUGCGUCACACUCGUGUGACACAGCUAAACUCCCGAUGCCGAGGCGUCAUGCCAGUGUGACGAUUUCAAUGCAAUAUUGCAAUCGCCCGGCUUUGGGGUUUUUGCGUAGCGUGUGCCCCGUCGGGAAAGGGUUAAUUUGAACACUACUAUUUAAAACAAAACAUAGCUCCAUGAAGACUUUGAAAUAAAAAACAGUUAUGACUAACAUCUUAGAUUGAUUCUAUAUUCAAUUAAAAUUUGCACACUAAUGAUAAUUACGAAUUAUCAAGGAAUGCAACCAAUGUCUAGAGUGCUGACUGCUUGCCUCAAAGAAGUCAAAUAGUAUGGAUUGCUUCUAUAACUCCUAGAUUGAGGUCUUACUUCACAGUAUUUUUGCUUUGUGAAUAUUUAUCAAAAUGGUUCCUACUAGACCCUUAGCAUACAAGUGUUGAUAUAUCUUUUUUAAUCUUGGGGAUACUACGAGGUAUUCUCCUUUUUAUUUUUAGGCCUUGGGUUUUGUGUGUCUCUAAUUAUGCUAACCAGUUUGUUGUGCAAUACAGGCAACUCCAGGUAUGCUAAUUAAGGCUCAUUGCUUCCACAGCAGUCAGAAUGAUUGAUGCUUAGAUUAUAUUGCAAUGUCUUCUUUGUUGUUUUUGUCAAUGGGUGUUUUGUAAAUUUCUAGGAAUUGAAUAUUUAGGUUAAUCAGUUUUGUUGUAUAUUGGUCUUGAAAGAGGAAAGGUUAAUGGUAUAAAUGACAGACAUAGGGGAAAAGGUGAUAAUUGUCAAGAGGAGUAUGAUCUAAAAAAUUUCCAGUUAACAGAAAUUAGAAGGCUACUUAAUGAUUAUCAAUGA